AGAGUUUGAUCCUGGCUCAGAACGUACGCUGGCGGCACGCCUAAUACAUGCAAGUCGAACGAAGUAGCAAUACUUAGUGGCAGACGGGUGAGUAACAUGUGGGUAUCUUCCCUUUGGUGAGGAAUAACACGAGGAAACUUGUGCUAAUACCUCAUAAGUCUUUACAGAGAAAGCUUUAUGCGCCAUUGGAUGAGCCCGCACUUGAUUAGUUUGUUGGUGGGGUAAUGGCCUACCAAGACUGUGAUCAAUAGCUGAUUUGAGAGGAUGAUCAGCCACAUUGGGACUGAGACACGGCCCAAACUCCUACGGGAGGCAGCAGUAGGGAAUCUUGCACAAUGGAGGAAACUCUGAUGCAGCGAUGCCGCGUGAGUGAAGAAGGCCUUUGGGUUGUAAAGCUCUUUCGUCGGGGAAGAAAAUGACUGUACCCGAAUAAGAAGGUCCGGCUAACUUCGUGCCAGCAGCCGCGGUAAUACGAAGGGACCUAGCGUAGUUCGGAAUUACUGGGCUUAAAGAGUUCGUAGGUGGUUAAAAAAGUUGGUGGUGAAAUCCCAGAGCUUAACUCUGGAACUGCCAUCAAAACUUUUUAGCUAGAGUAUGAUAGAGGAAAGCAGAAUUUCUAGUGUAGAGGUGAAAUUCGUAGAUAUUAGAAAGAAUACCAAUUGCGAAGGCAGCUUUCUGGAUCAUUACUGACACUGAGGAACGAAAGCAUGGGUAGCGAAGAGGAUUAGAUACCCUCGUAGUCCAUGCCGUAAACGAUGUGUGUUAGACGUUGGAAAUUUAUUUUCAGUGUCGCAGCGAAAGCGAUAAACACACCGCCUGGGGAGUACGACCGCAAGGUUAAAACUCAAAUGAAUUGACGGGGACCCGCACAAGUAGUGGAGCAUGUGGUUUAAUUCGAAGAUACGCGCAGAACCUUACCAACACUUGACAUGUUCGUCGCGACUCUAAGAGAUUAGAGUUUUCGGUUCGGCCGGACGAAACACAGGUGCUGCAUGGCUGUCGUCAGCUCGUGUCGUGAGAUGUUGGGUUAAGUCCCGCAACGAGCGCAACCCUCACUUUUAGUUGCCAUCAUUAAGUUGGGCACUCUGAAAGAACUGCCAGUGAUAAGCUGGAGGAAGGUGGGGAUGACGUCAAGUCCUCAUGGCCCUUACGUGUUGGGCUACACACGUGCUACAAUGGCAUCUACAACAGGAAGCAAAACGGCAACGUUAAGCAAAUCCCGAAAAGAUGCCUCAGUUCGGAUUGUACUCUGCAACUCGAGUACAUGAAGCUGGAAUUACUAGUAAUCGCGGAUCAGCGCGCCGCGGUGAAUACGUUCCCGGGUCUUGUACACACCGCCCGUCACACCAUGGGAGUUGGUUCUACCUUAAGGCAAAGUUUAAAACCUUUGACCACGGUAUAGUCAGCGACUGGGGUGAAGUCGUAACAAGGUAACC
Molecule: ribosomal RNA, 1436 nt
Filed under: uncultured bacterium
Lineage: Bacteria
Description: bacterial SSU rRNA
Rfam family: Bacterial small subunit ribosomal RNA
Source: RNAcentral